AGAGUUUGAUCCUGGCUCAGGAUGAACGCUGGCGGCGUGCUUAACACAUGCAAGUCGAACGAAGCACUUUAUUUGAUUUCCUUCGGGAUUGAUUAUUUUGUGACUGAGUGGCGGACGGGUGAGUAACGCGUGGGUAACCUGCCUUGUACAGGGGGAUAACAGUUGGAAACGGCUGCUAAUACCGCAUAAGCGCACAGUAUCGCAUGAUGCAGUGUGAAAAACUCCGGUGGUAUAAGAUGGACCCGCGUUGGAUUAGCUAGUUGGUGAGGUAACGGCCCACCAAGGCAACGAUCCAUAGCCGACCUGAGAGGGUGACCGGCCACAUUGGGACUGAGACACGGCCCAAACUCCUACGGGAGGCAGCAGUGGGGAAUAUUGCACAAUGGGCGAAAGCCUGAUGCAGCGACGCCGCGUGAGCGAAGAAGUAUUUCGGUAUGUAAAGCUCUAUCAGCAGGGAAGAUAAUGACGGUACCUGACUAAGAAGCACCGGCUAAAUACGUGCCAGCAGCCGCGGUAAUACGUAUGGUGCAAGCGUUAUCCGGAUUUACUGGGUGUAAAGGGAGCGCAGGCGGUGCGGCAAGUCUGAUGUGAAAGCCCGGGGCUCAACCCCGGUACUGCAUUGGAAACUGUCGUACUAGAGUGUCGGAGGGGUAAGCGGAAUUCCUAGUGUAGCGGUGAAAUGCGUAGAUAUUAGGAGGAACACCAGUGGCGAAGGCGGCUUACUGGACGAUAACUGACGCUGAGGCUCGAAAGCGUGGGGAGCAAACAGGAUUAGAUACCCUGGUAGUCCACGCCGUAAACUCCCAUAAACGGAGGUGUUGGGAAGCAUUGCUUCUCGGUGCCGUCGCAAACGCAGUAAGUAUUCCACCUGGGGAGUACGUUCGCAAGAAUGAAACUCAAAGGAAUUGACGGGGACCCGCACAAGCGGUGGAGCAUGUGGUUUAAUUUGAAGCAACGCGAAGAACCUUACCAAGUCUUGACAUCCUUCUGACCGGUACUUAACCGUACCUUCUCUUCGGAGCAGGAGUGACAGGUGGUGCAUGGUUGUCGUCAGCUCGUGUCGUGAGAUGUUGGGUUAAGUCCCGCAACGAGCGCAACCCUUAUCUUUAGUAGCCAGCGGUUCGGCCGGGCACUCUAGAGAGACUGCCAGGGAUAACCUGGAGGAAGGCGGGGAGGACGUCAAAUCAUCAUGCCCCCUAUGACUUGGGCUACACACGUGCUACAAUGGCGUAAACAAAGGGAAGCAAAGCUGUGAGGCCGAGCAAAUCUCAAAAAUAACGUCUCAGUUCGGACUGUAGUCUGCAACCCGACUACACGAAGCUGGAAUCGCUAGUAAUCGCAGAUCAGAAUGCUGCGGUGAAUAAAGUCCCGGGUCUUGCACACACCGCCC
Molecule: ribosomal RNA, 1390 nt
Filed under: uncultured bacterium
Lineage: Bacteria
Description: bacterial SSU rRNA
Rfam family: Bacterial small subunit ribosomal RNA
Source: RNAcentral